This 469-nucleotide ribosomal RNA is filed under the name uncultured bacterium. RNAcentral's name for it is "bacterial SSU rRNA". It matches the Rfam family "Bacterial small subunit ribosomal RNA", at positions 331 to 792 of the family's 1533-position model. The record is from RNAcentral.
CCAGACUCCUACGGGAGGCAGCAGUGGGGAAUAUUGCACAAUGGGCGCAAGCCUGAUGCAGCCAUGCCGCGUGUAUGAAGAAGGCCUUCGGGUUGUAAAGUACUUUCAGCGGGGAGGAAGGUGUUGAGGUUAAUAACCUCAGCAAUUGACGUUACCCGCAGAAGAAGCACCGGCUAACUCCGUGCCAGCAGCCGCGGUAAUACGGAGGGUGCAAGCGUUAAUCGGAAUUACUGGGCGUAAAGCGCACGCAGGCGGUCUGUCAAGUCGGAUGUGAAAUCCCCGGGCUCAACCUGGGAACUGCAUUCGAAACUGGCAGGCUGGAGUCUUGUAGAGGGGGGUAGAAUUCCAGGUGUAGCGGUGAAAUGCGUAGAGAUCUGGAGGAAUACCGGUGGCGAAGGCGGCCCCCUGGACAAAGACUGACGCUCAGGUGCGAAAGCGUGGGGAGCAAACAGGAUUAGAUACCCCAGUA